This 507-nucleotide ribosomal RNA is filed under the name uncultured bacterium. RNAcentral's name for it is "partial 16S ribosomal RNA". It matches the Rfam family "Bacterial small subunit ribosomal RNA", at positions 899 to 1397 of the family's 1533-position model. The record is from RNAcentral.
ACUCAAAUGAAUUGACGGGGGCUCACACCAGCGGUGGAGCAUGUGGCUUAAUUCGAGGCUACGCGAAGAACCUUAUCCUAGGUUUGACAUGCACGGAUUAGCCUCCUGAAAGGGAGGUGACGCGGCUUGCCGUGGAACGUGCACAGGUGCUGCAUGGCUGUCGUCAGCUCGUGUUGUGAGAUGUCGGGUUAAGUCCCUUAACGAGCGAAACCCUUGUCCUUAGUUACCAGCGGGUCAUGCCGGGAACUCUAAGGAGACUGCCGGUGUCAAGCCGGAGGAAGGUGGGGAUGACGUCAAGUCCUCAUGGCCUUUAUGCCUAGGGCUGCACACGUGCUACAAUGGGGCGGACAAAGGGACGCAAAACGGCAACGUUGAGCAAAUCCCAAAAACCGCCCCCCAGUUCAGAUUGCAGGCUGCAACCCGCCUGCAUGAAGCCGGAAUCGCUAGUAAUCGCAGGUCAGCCAUACUGCGGUGAAUGUGUUCCUGAGCCUUGUACACACCGCCCGU